Long non-coding RNA from Mesocricetus auratus (golden hamster), 759 nucleotides. RefSeq lists it as uncharacterized. The transcript is spliced from 2 exons. The record is from RefSeq and is a predicted model, not a curated record. NCBI's taxonomy places the organism in Eukaryota, Metazoa, Chordata, Mammalia, Rodentia, Cricetidae.
CAAAACAAAGCCACAAAACUCCUGACACUCCCAGUCAACAUUCUGAUGCCAUGGAGACUAUCAUUUUUUCAGUAAGCAGAUAGAGCUAGGCUGGAAGGCACAGGGUGACAGUCACUUACCCGUAAAUCACAUCGUCAUCAGAAUCGUUCAGCAUGGAAAACGCAGGGUUGUCUUUUAGCUGGGACUCUGAAAAUUCAACAAACGCCUUUUUAAUGAGAGCAUUUUGUGUUAUUCGCCAGGGAGAGGUCUGAAGGAGUUAGACCCAAAGCCUCAAGUAGAGUCAGUAGUGGUGUGCUGUGAGACUGUGACAUCAUAGGUCAGCACAGCUGUGCCCUGAGUUCAACUUGAGGCUACCAUCCACCUGCCUUCUCUCUGUCACGGGACCCUGUACCCGGGGAAAACAUGAGCCAAUGGAAACUCUUGCGUUUCAGCUAUCUGGACGGCGACCCUGACCCGAGGUGGCUCACCAUACAGAGCAUUCUUGGAUGGAGAGUACACGAAGGCCAGCGUGUACAGAAGCCCUUUCCAGGAUGAACCACUGACCAGCUUGAGGAGGGGUGGGAGUCCACAGCCCAGAUGCCAGGAUGCCUCAGUUCAAGUCAUGGCCAGAUGUCACAAGGACAGGAAGGGGACUGAGGUCUACUGACAUAAGGAGAUGCAGAACCGAAGCUCAGAAUUCUACCUCCUCCACACUACAGACCCCCAAGUGCCUACGGAAUCAGUGUAGAGCUUAGUCACAAUAAAAAAGGCCAUCAUCAA